Molecule: long non-coding RNA, 3212 nt
Filed under: Octopus sinensis (East Asian common octopus)
Lineage: Eukaryota; Metazoa; Mollusca; Cephalopoda; Octopoda; Octopodidae
Description: uncharacterized LOC118767713
Source: RNAcentral
GUCCCCUCCCCUAAAAUUUCAGGCCUUGUGUCUUUAGUAGAAAGGAUUAUUCCUUCCUUUGCAAAUAUUACAAUUAAGUGGAUCACCUAUUUCCUGUAAGGGAAAGUGGAGGCCAUUCAAAAGUAUCAGAAAAAUAUUUGACCGGGUCUCAUAGCACUCCUAGAAGAGGAAAUGAUUUGCACCAAAAGAAGUCAAUAAAUAUAAAAGUGCAUUAAUCGCACAAAAGAGAAAGCCACAAUAGCCUUCUGCAACUGGAAUAGAAAAAUGUCUGGAAGAAGUGCGGCCUUCUGUAGUUUAUAUCUGCCGAGAAAGGCAAUGUGGGACUGCGGUAGCUAUCUGCAGCAAUGAAGAGCAAGUGCACAGGAUGGCUACAAUGACCUGUUCCUCCGACCAGUUUGUUAUGUUCUCCUUAUACAUGGGACGUCGUGUGACCAAGAUCAGGAUCUCAAACAUACCUCCUCAUAGGGACCAGGCCAGAUUAAAGGCUAUGCUAGUGGAGCAUGGGGAGACAAACAUGAAAACAAGCCCCACCACAAAACAACAGGAAUUUUCAAUGGAGUUCCAGGUUUUGGUUGCUCCAGAAGAAGUUCAUGCUAUCCCAGAAUUUUUCUGUUUCAGAGAGUGCAAGCAGAUGCAGGUAAUUGUGGAUAGUAGGAAACCUAGAUGUUAUAUUUGUGGCAAAACUGAUUACCUUAAAACUUUCUUCUCCCACUGUGGAGAAGUCAAGAGAAGUGUCUCACUCUGAACUGUUAUUCCCAACACCAAAUCCAUUGCAAACCCAAAGAGGAAAGGAGUGGCAACUACAAGGACAAACACAGGAGCAGAUGGACAAAAAGGCAAACAGAAAUCGUACUGACUCCUUGGAUAUAGAAGGGGCCUCAGAUGAGACAAAAAUACCUGAGUGGGUGAUUGUUGAGCUACCCCCAAAAAGAAAAAAGAGGGAGAGUGGGUGAAAAUACAGAUGUAACCCCUAAAUCCCAAAAGUUUGUGGGCACCUAGCUGAUUAAUCUCAAAAAUGUUGUGUCCAAUCUCAAAACCAAUGUUGCAAACCCCCAAUUUCAGCAACAACAAGAGAGAUAAAACCAACUACAGCAACAUUGAGAACUGAAACAGCAUUUUCAGUGGCAGCAAGAAACAACAGAAUCAGCAACAUGUGAAACUUAAAUAAAAACAACCAAAACAAUAACAGUUACAUCAACUGCAAGAGAGGGAACUAGUAGAACAGCAUCUCUCAGGUGAGCCUCUCAAUUACGCAGUCCUACAGAAGGAGAAUGAGGAAUUAAUGGAGUUUGUAAACUCAAACGAAAACAAAAUUUUGACAAUGAGCUAGGGUCUUGAUGCUCUCACUAUUGUCUAAACCCUAGAAGGGAAGGUUCUGAUGAGAACAACUCCCACCUUGUAUUGUAUUUUGAAGAAACAUUUCCCACAUGAUGUGGGAGUUUGCACAAACUUAUUGGAUGAAAGAGUAUUGGAAGGCCCAUUUGAAGACCCUGGAAAAAGACCAACACAAGACUAGGUUAAGUGACUGACACUUCUUUUGUUUUUCCCCUCCUCGAGAACAGUAAUUCGAAAAAUAGGUUGUGUAAAUUCUCAUGAGGGCAAUGUGGAACAGUCACCUGCUCCACAACCUCAAGUCAGUAUGUCUGGAUGCAGCAGCCAUCAGUGAAAUUAAGAUUUCUGAAACACAAUUGCUUGUCUACUUCUAGACAACUACAAGGUUUUAUGUCUCCUCCAGUUGACCUGGAUCAAAUGGUGUCAUGGUGCUAUUUCAGAAAGACCUUGACAUGAAGGUGUGUCUGAUUUUCUUAGACCCACUUGGUGAGAUGGUGGUCUUGGACAUAGCCAGCAAGGAAUGCGACAGUGGAGCCUUCAGACUAGUGGCAGUCUAUGCUCCAGUAGGAGCUGGAUAGCAGGAUUUCUUUAGACAACUGGAGACUUUCCUAGGAACAUCUCGCUUAUUAGUGUUAGUGGGCGAUUGGAAUGACAUUUUAGAUACAAGCAAAGAUUAUGUGGGAGUAGUGGAUAGGAAGGUGGGGUGCAAAAACUUUGAUAACCUUUUCUGGCAUUUCUAACUGUAUGACAGGAUUCAUCUCAAUUUCCAAAAUACACCAAUGUGGACUUGGUCAAAUUGUAAUGGAUCAUACUUAGAUAGAGUUUUUAUUAGGCUUGUAGAUAGGCAUCCUUCAUGAUGUGGUGCCAUGUGUUGAGACUGACAGCUGCAGAAAUACCUAACUUACUGCCAUGGUGUGAACAACAGUGAUGAAAACAAAGAUGAGGUGGGUAUCCUUUGUGCAACAUGCCUUCUGCUGCACAUCUCAUUCACAGAGCUACAGUCAUAGGUCAAACAUAGACCAAGAUUGGGUGUUUAGUAUCUAGAAUGUUGCCCUCAUUUUCAGAUCGUUGGCUAUUCAUAGAUCACAAAUUCAAGACCUUUACAGUCAACUUAGAAAAAAACCAGUUACUGAAAGAUGAAUGUGCCCUUCCUGGUGAGGUAAGAUUUCAGUGCUUAGACUAGUUAAACAGGAAGUGAAGAGAGCCAUCGUCAACAACGGGGUGGAUAUCCUUAAAAAGGAAAAUCAGAGAGGUGUCAGUUAGUUUUAGCAAAGAGAUUGCUUUAGAAAACAAUAAAAUAGAAAAUAAACUAGUUAGUAGUUUAGAAGAUGCACUUAGAAGGGAAAUAGCGAACAAUGUGCUGCUGGCGAGAAUGGCACUUAACCAUUUCUUUGACAUGCAGCAUGAAGGCUGUGUUAUCCGAGAUAGGGUGCAUGCACUGAAACAUGAGGGCUUGGAAGCCAUUGGUUGGUCCCAGCUAAUGAAGGCACAGCAUGGCAGCGUGCUCUCUGAUUCCAAACAGACGAGCACAACUUUCGGCUGCACUUUGCUGAGCUCUUUUUCAAGAGUGGCAGACUUGAGACAACAGUGUUGCAAGAAAGCCAAUUUUAGUGGAGGAAGUGGCAAAUGUACUGAGCUGCUGUGUGGUAUGCAAAUCACCAGGAUUGGAUGGUCUACACUAUGAGCUAUAUUUCUACAUGUCUGAUUUGUUUGCUCCAGUUUUGGCAGCUGUCUACUGCACCUGGCAUCAGAUGGAGCAUUCCCGGUCAUGUGAGCUGGAGAGUGGUGACUCUGCUGAGAAAGGAUCUAAAUAAGGGAGACAUGAUCAAAAAUUUCCAUAAAUCUGCUCAACACUGAAAUAAAGAGUAUUGAAAUAUGAA